UUAAGUCAUGNAUGUCUGCGUAUAAGCAAAUUGUACCGCGAAACUGCGAAUGGCUCAUUAUAUAAGUUAUCGUUUAUUUGAUAGCGCCUUCUUACUCGGAUACCUGUGGUAAUUCUAGAGCUAAUACGUGCUGAAAUGCUCGACUUCGGAAGAGCUGUAUUUAUUAGAUUAAAAACCAAUGCCCUUCGGGGCUUUUUGGUGAUUCAUGAUAACUUUUCGAAUCGCAUGGCCUUGCGCCGGCGAUGGUUCAUUCAAAUUUCUUCCCUAUCAACUUUCGAUGCGAGGGUCUUGUCCUCGCAUGGUUGCAACGGGUAACGGAGGGUUAGGGCUCGACCCCGGAGAAGGAGNCUGAGAAACGGNUACUACAUCCAAGGAAGGCAGCAGGCGCGCAAAUUACCCAAUCCCGACACGGGGAGGUAGUGACAAUAAAUACUGAUGCAGAGCCCUUUCGGGUUUUGCAAUCGGAAUGAGUACUAUUUAAAUCCCAUAACGAGUAACAAUUGGAGGGCAAGUCUGGUGCCAGCAGCCGCGGUAAUUCCAGCUCCAAUAGCGUAUAUUAAAGUUGUUGUGGUUAAAAAGCUCGUAGUUGAACCUUGGGCCUGGCUUGUCGGUCCCCCUCACCGGGUGCACCGAUCCAGCCGGGUCUUUCCCUCUGUGGAUCCCCAUGGCCUUUAUUGGCUGUGGCGGGGAAACAGGACUUUUACUUUGAAAAAAUUAGAGUGCUCCAGGCAGGCCUAUGCUCGAAUAUUUCAGCAUGGAAUAAUAAAAUAGGACGCGUGGUUCUAUUUUGUUGGUUUCUAGAACCGCCGUAAUGAUUAAUAGGGACAGGCGGGGGCAUCUGUAUUCAAUUGUCAGAGGUGAAAUUCUUGGAUCUAUUGAAGACAAACUACUGCGAAAGCAUUUGCCAAGGAUGUUUUCAUUGAUAAGGAACGAAAGUUAGGGGAUCGAAGACGAUCAGAUACCGGCGUNGUCUUAACUAUAAACUGUGCCGACUUGGGAUCGGACGAUGUUAUUUUUUGGCUCGUNCGGCACCAUUCGAGAAUCAAAGUGC
Molecule: ribosomal RNA, 1051 nt
Filed under: Aniptodera juncicola
Lineage: Eukaryota; Fungi; Ascomycota; Sordariomycetes; Microascales; Halosphaeriaceae
Description: SSU rRNA
Rfam family: Eukaryotic small subunit ribosomal RNA
Source: RNAcentral